CCUACGGGUGGCUGCAGUCGAGAAUAGUCUACAAUGGACGAAAGUCUGAUAGUGCGACGCCGCGUGAACGAAGAAGCCCUUCGGGGUGUAAAGUUCUUUUAUAUGUGAGCAAUGCUUUAUAUGUGAAUAGCAUAUAGGGAGAGAUAUUAGCAUAUGAAUAAGCAACGGCUAACUCCGUGCCAGCAGCCGCGGUAACACGGGGGUUGCAAGCGUUGUCCGGAAUUACUAGGCGUAAAGGGCAGGUAGGCGGAUACAUAAGUUUGAUGUUAAAGGCAGCGGCUCACCCGCUGUACGGCAUUAGAUACUGUGUAUCUGGAAUGCGGUUGGGGAAGACAGAAUUCCUGGUGUAGCGGUGGAAUGCGCAGAGAUCAGGAGGAAUACCAAAGGCGAAGGCAGUCUUCUAAGCCGUAAUUGACGCUAAACUGCGAAGGUGUGGGUAUCAAACAGGAUUAGAUACCCUGGUAGUC
This 467-nucleotide ribosomal RNA is filed under the name uncultured bacterium. Its description in RNAcentral is "bacterial SSU rRNA". It matches the Rfam family "Bacterial small subunit ribosomal RNA", at positions 338 to 795 of the family's 1533-position model. The record is from RNAcentral.